Xyrichtys novacula (pearly razorfish) is the source of this 662-nucleotide non-coding RNA. Lineage: Eukaryota; Metazoa; Chordata; Actinopteri; Labriformes; Labridae. The record is from the annotation of a GenBank genome assembly.
AGAUUGCUUUACCCUGAGGUAAACGUCAUAAAAUGGGUCCAGUGCAAGACGUGCAGGGGCUGGCUGCAUCAGGAUUGUGCUGGGAUUGAAAUGGAGCCGUUUGACUGCGGGUGCGAGGACUCCAUUGAGCAUCCUCGGUAUAACAUAAUUUAUCAAGGAAACAUAGUAUCAGUCAAAAAUACGAGGCUCAAAGGAUGAAAAAAUGAGGGCUUGCUCUUUUCUUAUUUCUCUGCAGGAUCAAGGAUGCUGUUGACAGUUGAGGAAUUCAUGCUGUCUUUUCUAAGACACAGAUCAAGGUUGCUUUUGAAUGCACUAUCAGUUGUUAAAGCCACCGUUUCUUUUUCAGAUGUUUACAUUUUUGUCUCUUGCUCUUUGGUUUCAGACAUUACACGAUGAUCUACUGUCUGGAAAGAUCCGCUCCAACAGAAUGUUCCUUUGGAGGAAUCCCGCCACCUCACUCCGACUAAAGCAGCAUCUUAAGAUAAGGACACUAAGUUGGAGUGAGCAGCGCGUAAGUAAAAAUGCCAUCCAUCAUGAAUAUUUUUACUCUCAGGGGUGUUACAUUUGAAAGGUGUUUACUUUCUGUGUUUUUCUUCAAUAGAUGUUCGAGCUCCUGCGGUUCAUUGAGGUGGCAACAAACAUUUCUAAAAAAAUAAAGAGAG